CCCGGGCCUUGUACACACCGCCCGUCACACCAUGGGAGUUGGUUCUACCCGAAGGUAGUGCGCUAACCACAAGGGGGCAGCUAACCACGGUAGGGUCAGCGACUGGGGUG
RNAcentral lists this ribosomal RNA (110 nucleotides) under uncultured bacterium. RNAcentral describes it as "partial 16S ribosomal RNA". It matches the Rfam family "Bacterial small subunit ribosomal RNA", at positions 1373 to 1482 of the family's 1533-position model. The record is from RNAcentral.